AUGAGCGAUCAGGAUUGGCCGGAGGAAAAACCAUCGAUCCGUGGACUCGGGCCAAGGACCAAUCAAGCCGUGCUUUUGUUGAAAGGUUUCGCGCUCAGGCCGAAGAGCGCGGGACUCCAUCGCGGCAAAAACUCUAGUACCCGCGCUUUCGUCCAAAUGUUUCGCGCUCAGGCUUCACCACGUCUGAAAAACUGUGGCGCCCACGCGCUUUCGUCCAAAGAGAUUCUAACCAACCAGCAGCAGCACCCAACCCAAACCAGCCCUCGCACACUCUGUCUUCUUCCUCCUCUCUCCCCCCCACCCAACGACCCGCCGGCAACCUCCUCUCGCCCAGCCACCGCCGGCGCCCCCCGCCCUCUCCUCCCCUCCGUAGUCUCCGCAUCCAACCUCCACAGCUUUCCCUCCCCGCGCCCGAAAGCCCACGUCCACGGCAACCAAUCUCUGGAUCCGCAUCGCAGGAUGCCGCUGGAUCCGGGAGCAGGGCGUCUCACCCUGAAGCCGCCGUUCGGGUCGAGCUCCGCGGCGGCGAAUGCCGGUGCUCCUCUGCUUCCUCGACAACCAAGGACGCAGGCCCUGGAUCCGUGCUCGCCUUCUUCCUCCACCAGCCUCGGUGCCCAACUCCCUUCACCCGCCGUCGCUGUCGCCAUCGUGGACUCCCAAGCAGUCGAGGAGCAUGAGGACCCGAGCUCGAGCGCGACCACGAUGCAACGCACAAGUCACUCACCUGAUGCAUUGUUCUACUUCAUCUUCUUGAUGCCCAGGGUGUUUCAGUACCACCGCUUGUAUGACCAACGAGCUAAUCUCAACCCUGUGUGCAAGCUACUGGACCUGAUAUCGGUUGAUUCCAAGAACAAGCUAUGGUGGUGGCUGCCGAUUUGCCGCGUCAACAAGGUCUCGUUCCUCCCUGGUUUGCACAAGCUACGUCAGGCAACUGCAGACCCCGUACGACCAUGGCCCACACCCCUGAAGCUUCCCCUGUCCGCAACAACUUCUGGAUCAAAGGAUUGUUGCUUAAUCCCGGGCUGCUCUACCUUGAAGGAAAAGGGGUCCUCCUUGAGAUCAUAUAGAUGGCGCAAGGAAAAUGGUAAUAUGGUCAUUGUGGUGGAAGUUUUUGAUUAUUUGAUAGUUGAUAACUCUUCUAUUGCGAGCAGCAGAGGAGGAUGGAUCGAGGACCGUCCGUUGCGGAUUCGCCGCCUCACCUAUGUCGGUCUCGUGCGUGGCUGGGGUUCUUCGCCGAGCACCAACAUCGUCCAUGGAGCCGGCGAGCUCACACACCUGCACCUUCAAAAGCACCACGUUAGCUACUUGAACAUCAAGUGCUACGACGAGGGCUGCUCUACCUUGAAGGAAAAGGGGUCCUCCUUGAGAUCAUAUAGAUGGCGCAAGGACAAUGGUCAUAUGGUCGUUGUGGUGGCUGAGGAUGCUGGCCAAGAUCUCAUCGCGCAAAGCAUGAAGUUUGUGGACCUCACCAUCCCUUCCUCUGUUUGGGUGAGUCCUUGGUCUUCUCUCUCUGUCUCUCUCUCUGAGAUGGUCCGGCCAUCGAGCUGUGGGUGA
This 1554-nucleotide ribosomal RNA is filed under the name Triticum aestivum (bread wheat). RNAcentral's name for it is "partial small subunit ribosomal RNA". Lineage: Eukaryota; Viridiplantae; Streptophyta; Magnoliopsida; Poales; Poaceae. The record is from RNAcentral.